UAUUCUCCAAAAACCUAAUUCCCCGAUCCCUUCUUCUCCUCACACGCGACGCCGCGCGAUUCUCCUCCUCUCGCGGCGGAAACGAAGAAGCAGGCUUAGGGCUUCACUCCGGUGAGCACCCUCCUCCGUGGGUUCUUCACAUAUCCGAGCUCCUCUCGGCAAGGUGAGCGCGCGGGCACAAGAAGGGGGCCGAGAUCUUCAUCCCUCUGAACCCUAGCAGCCCUUCCUUCAGUUGUAAGUCCAAGAACAGUAGAUAAAGGAAAAGCUAAAGUAUAAAGAGGAAGGCGACAAGGAGGAUGUGUGAUGGAUGUGUGUGAUGCCAGAACUAUGGAGAGAUCUGGGAAGCUAUGAGUUCAUGUUUAGUGGUUGAGAAAUAGAUGAGUUGUACUUUAUGGUUUGUGUCAUUUGAGUUUGUAUUUUUAUUCCUUGUUUUUAUUGAGUUUAUUCGUGUCUUAGAUUGCUUGCUGUGAUGAGUCUCUAUGCAAUAAGUAGUUAUUUCAGUGUUUGACACUUAUUAAA
Molecule: long non-coding RNA, 519 nt
Organism: Zingiber officinale
Lineage: Eukaryota; Viridiplantae; Streptophyta; Magnoliopsida; Zingiberales; Zingiberaceae
Exons: 2
Source: RefSeq, a predicted model, not a curated record